This 815-nucleotide long non-coding RNA is filed under the name Nicotiana benthamiana. Its description in RNAcentral is "long non-coding RNA (NBEN_LNC040111)". The record is from RNAcentral. Lineage: Eukaryota; Viridiplantae; Streptophyta; Magnoliopsida; Solanales; Solanaceae.
UACUAUAUGCAUAAGAUUGAACAGGAGCAGGUGGUGGUAAAGGUUGAAGCGGGGCUAAUGGUACCAAUGGAGAUGUAACUAAAUCCCUUUCAUGAAACUGAGGACGUUCAUGGUAUACACGCUCUUCAACCCGCUCACGGUGCCCACGCUCCUCAACCCGCUCACGGUAUCCACGCCGUCUUCUGUAAACAUCAGGAUUACCUAGCACUGUGUCACGUGGCUCUACUACUGCCUGUCUUCUGUAAACAUCAGGAUUGCAUGGCACUGUGUCCCGCCUAUAAGCAUCAGGGAGUUCCACCAAUCGGCUCUGCCUAUAAGUAUCAUCAUGCUGUAUCACUGUGUCCCGUCUAUAAGGAUCUGUUCUCGAAGUCCUACUAUAUGCAUAAGAUUGAACAGGAGCAGGUGGUGGUAAAGGUUGAAGCGCGGCUAAUGGCACCAAUGGAGAUGUAACUAAAUCCCUUUCAUGAAACUGAGGACGUUCAUGGUAUACACGCUCUUCAACCUGCUCACGGUACCCAUGCUCUUCAACCCGCUGACGGUACCCACGCUCUUCAACCCGCUGACGGUACCCACGCUCUUCAACCCGCUCAGGUCGUCGAGCACGUUCAGCCUGUCUUCUGCCAUCCCGACCCCGUCUCUUAACUCUGUCUCGCUUGGAUUUCGCAGAGGUCUCAAAUCCAAGCCGUGUGUCUUUGGACCUGGAACCUUUGCUCGCAGCAGUGAAAAGCUUACAUAGGUCCUUCACCUAGCAAUUAGCAACAAAUAUGCAAACAAAUUGUAGGUGCCGAGACUCGCAAGAAACUUACUGACAACAG